GAUGAACGCUAGCUACAGGCUUAAUACAUGCAAGUCGAGGGACCGGCGCACGGGUGAGUAAUACAUAUCCAACCUGCCCUUUACUCAGGGAUAGCCUUUCAGAAGAAAGAUUAAUAUACGAUAUAAAGGAUGGGGAUGCGUUACAGUAGGUUGUUGGUGAGGUAACGUCUCACGAAGAAUUCGAUGGAGAGGAGUUCUGAGAGGAAGGUCCCUCACAUUGUAACUGGGACACGCUCCAAACGCCUACGCGAGGCAGCAGUGAGGAAUAUUGGUCAAUGGGCGGUAGCAUGAACCAGCCAAGUAGCGUGAAGGAUGAAGGCUUAUGGGUCGUAAACUUCUUUUAUAUAGGAAUAUGUAUUAUAUGAAUAAGGAGCGGCGAACUCCGUGCCAGCCGCCGCGGUAAUGC
RNAcentral lists this ribosomal RNA (406 nucleotides) under uncultured bacterium. RNAcentral's name for it is "partial 16S ribosomal RNA". It matches the Rfam family "Bacterial small subunit ribosomal RNA", at positions 28 to 526 of the family's 1533-position model. The record is from RNAcentral.